UAAGAGUUAGACUCUGUGUGUGUGCU
Molecule: non-coding RNA, 26 nt
Filed under: Mus musculus (house mouse)
Lineage: Eukaryota; Metazoa; Chordata; Mammalia; Rodentia; Muridae
Source: RNAcentral